RNAcentral lists this ribosomal RNA (512 nucleotides) under uncultured bacterium. Its description in RNAcentral is "partial 16S ribosomal RNA". It matches the Rfam family "Bacterial small subunit ribosomal RNA", at positions 28 to 523 of the family's 1533-position model. The record is from RNAcentral.
GACGAACGCUGGCGGCGUGCCUAAUACAUGCAAGUCGAGCGAAUUUACGAGAGCUUGCUCUCGUAAAUUAGCGGCGGACGGGUGAGUAACACGUGGGCAACCUGCCUAUAAGACUGGGAUAACUUCGGGAAACCGGAGCUAAUACCGGAUAAUUCACAUCUACUCAUGUAGAUGUGCUGAAAGACGGUUUCGGCUGUCACUUAUAGAUGGGCCCGCGGCGCAUUAGCUAGUUGGUGAGGUAACGGCUCACCAAGGCCACGAUGCGUAGCCGACCUGAGAGGGUGAUCGGCCACACUGGGACUGAGACACGGCCCAGACUCCUACGGGAGGCAGCAGUAGGGAAUCUUCCGCAAUGGACGAAAGUCUGACGGAGCAACGCCGCGUGAGUGAUGAAGGUUUUCGGAUCGUAAAACUCUGUUGUUAGGGAAGAACAAGUACCAGAGUAACUGCUGGUACCUUGACGGUACCUAACCAGAAAGCCACGGCUAACUACGUGCCAGCAGCCGCAGUAA